AGGACGAACGCUGGCGGCGCGCCUAAUGCAUGCAAGUCGAGCGACGCACACCGGAGGGGUAACCCACCGGUAUGACGGAGCGGCGAACGGGUGAGUAACACGUGAGCAACCUGCCCCACAGACCGGGAUAGCCCAGGGAAACUUGGAUUAAUACCGGAUAUCCUCAUAGAACCACAUGGCUCUUUGAGGAAAUGCCUUAACGCUGUGGGAUGGGCUCGCGGCUUAUCAGCUAGUUGGUGGGUAACGGCCUACCAAGGCAUCGACGAGUAGCUGGUCUGAGAGGACGAUCAGCCACACUGGGACUGAGACACGGCCCAGACCUCCGUACGGGAGGCAGCAGCAGGGAAUCUUGCGCAAGUGGGACGAAAGCCUGACGCAGCGACGCCGCGGUGGGAUGAAGGCCGUUCGGUUCGUAAACCCCGUUUCGAGGAGGACGAAAGUUGACGGUACCUACCGAAAACGAACGACCCCGACCAACGUACGU
This 484-nucleotide ribosomal RNA is filed under the name uncultured soil bacterium. RNAcentral's name for it is "bacterial SSU rRNA". It matches the Rfam family "Bacterial small subunit ribosomal RNA", at positions 26 to 518 of the family's 1533-position model. The record is from RNAcentral.